AUACGGAGAGAGCAAGCGUUAUUCGGAAUCACUGGGCGUAAAGGACGCGUAGGCGGGUUUGUAAGUCAGGUGUGAAAUCCUACAGCUCAACUGUAGAACUGCACUUGAAACUACAGACCUAGAGUAUGGAAGGGGCAGAUGGAAUUAGUGGUGUAGGGGUAAAAUCCGUAGAUAUCACUAGGAAUACCGAAAGCGAAGGCGAUCUGCUGGGACAUUACUGACGCUGAGGCGUGAAAGCGUGGGGAGCAAACAGGAUUAGAAACCCUGGUAGUCC
This 274-nucleotide ribosomal RNA is filed under the name uncultured bacterium. RNAcentral describes it as "partial 16S ribosomal RNA". It matches the Rfam family "Bacterial small subunit ribosomal RNA", at positions 523 to 796 of the family's 1533-position model. The record is from RNAcentral.